GUAUCUCUUGAGGGUGGACCAUCAAGAUUCUCAUGCACUCAAACAUUUACAAUGAAUGGUCCCUACAUCGCAAGGGAUACCAUAAGUUGGAUGGUUGAUGGGUUCGAAGGAACUUUGGGCAUAAUCGAUUGAGACUUGAGGUUGGGCCAAGCAAAGCAUAGCCAAAUUCAAAGCCAUAGUCAUCUCCACCAAUAGUAGAGCCUCAAACACCCUCAAUAGUGGCACCU
RNAcentral lists this long non-coding RNA (227 nucleotides) under Elaeis guineensis (African oil palm). RNAcentral's name for it is "long non-coding RNA (EGUI_LNC063554)". The record is from RNAcentral. Lineage: Eukaryota; Viridiplantae; Streptophyta; Magnoliopsida; Arecales; Arecaceae.